This 472-nucleotide ribosomal RNA is filed under the name uncultured organism. Its description in RNAcentral is "partial 16S ribosomal RNA". It matches the Rfam family "Bacterial small subunit ribosomal RNA", at positions 334 to 797 of the family's 1533-position model. The record is from RNAcentral.
CACUCCUGCGGGAGGCAGCAGUGGGGAAUUUUGGACAAUGGGCGAAAGCCUGAUCCAGCAAUGCCGCGUGAGUGAAGAAGGCCUUCGGGUUGUAAAGCUCUUUUGUCAGGGAAGAAACGGUGAAAGCUAAUAUCUUUUGCUAAUGACGGUACCUGAAGAAUAAGCACCGGCUAACUACGUGCCAGCAGCCGCGGUAAUACGUAGGGUGCAAGCGUUAAUCGGAAUUACUGGGCGUAAAGCGUGCGCAGGCGGUUUUGUAAGUCUGAUGUGAAAUCCCCGGGCUCAACCUGGGAAUUGCAUUGGAGACUGCAAGGCUAGAAUCUGGCAGAGGGGGGUAGAAUUCCACGUGUAGCAGUGAAAUGCGUAGAUAUGUGGAGGAACACCGAUGGCGAAGGCAGCCCCCUGGGUCAAGAUUGACGCUCAUGCACGAAAGCGUGGGGAGCAAACAGGAUUAGAUACCCUUGUAGUCCCA